AGUGAACGCUGGCGGUAUGCCUAACACAUGCAAGUCGAACGGCAGCACAGUAAGAGCUUGCUCUUACGGGUGGCGAGUGGCGGACGGGUGAGGAAUACAUCGGAAUCUACUUUUUCGUGGGGGAUAACGUAGGGAAACUUACGCUAAUACCGCAUACGACCUACGGGUGAAAGCAGGGGAUCUUCUGACCUUGCGCGAUUGAAUGAGCCGAUGUCGGCUUAGCUAGUUGGCGGGGUAAAGGCCCACCAAGGCGCCGAUCCGUAGCUGGUCUGAGAGGAUGAUCACCGACACUGGAACGGAGACACGGUCCAGACGACUACGGGAGGCAGCAGUGGGGAAUAGUGGACAAAGGGCGCAAGCCUGAUCCAGCCAUACCGCGUGGGUGAAGAAGGCCUUCGGGUUGUAAAGCCCUUUUGUUGGGAAAGAAAAGCAGCAGGUUAAUACCCCGCUGUUCUGACGGUACCCAAAGAAUAAGCACCGGCUAACUUCGUG
Molecule: ribosomal RNA, 492 nt
Filed under: uncultured bacterium
Lineage: Bacteria
Description: partial 16S ribosomal RNA
Rfam family: Bacterial small subunit ribosomal RNA
Source: RNAcentral